This 480-nucleotide ribosomal RNA is filed under the name Triticum aestivum (bread wheat). RNAcentral's name for it is "partial small subunit ribosomal RNA". The record is from RNAcentral. Lineage: Eukaryota; Viridiplantae; Streptophyta; Magnoliopsida; Poales; Poaceae.
AUGACUCAUGGUUUCAUUACGAGGUUUAUAGCCGACCACGGUAUUGUUAAGGAGAAUAACCAGAGGGGGGCAGGGAGAGUCGCUCCACACAAUCAGGUGCAUACACGGCCAAGGAAGCCACCAACGGGACACUUCAAGAUACAUGUGGAUGCGGGUGUGCGGGGUAGAAGUGGAGGCUCUGCUGCGGCUGUUUGCAGAGAUGAAGAAGGAAAUUACCUGGGUAGCUCCGCUCUUGUUGUUGAGGGGGUCACAGACCCAGCCUCUCUUGAAGCGAUGACUUGUCGGGAGGCCUUGGCCCUUGCAGAGGAUCUCGGAAUCCAAAACCUUGUGGUGGCAUCGGAUUGCCAACAGGUGGCCUCUGACAUCAACAAAAAUGCUAAGGGCAUGUAUGGAGCAAUUGUUAGCGAGAUCAAUCUUAGAGCAUUUUCUUUUCAAUGUACUUUUGUGUUUGAGAGUUGUGCGUCGAAGCACACCGAUUAG